Molecule: ribosomal RNA, 301 nt
Filed under: uncultured bacterium
Lineage: Bacteria
Description: partial 16S ribosomal RNA
Rfam family: Bacterial small subunit ribosomal RNA
Source: RNAcentral
CAGUCGCCACGGUAAUACGUAGGUGGCAAGCGUUGUCCGGAAUUAUUGGGCGUAAAGGGCUCGCAGGCGGUUUCUUAAGUCUGAUGUGAAAGCCCCCGGCUCAACCGGGGAGGGUCAUUGGAAACUGGGAAACUUGAGUGCAGAAGAGGAGAGUGGAAUUCCACGUGUAGCGGUGAAAUGCGUAGAGAUGUGGAGGAACACCAGUGGCGAGGGCGACUCUCUGGUCUGUAACUGACGCUGAGGAGCGAAAGCGUGGGGAGCGAACAAGAUUAGAUACCCCGGUAGUCCCUGUCUCUUAUAC